Molecule: long non-coding RNA, 424 nt
Organism: Melitaea cinxia (Glanville fritillary)
Lineage: Eukaryota; Metazoa; Arthropoda; Insecta; Lepidoptera; Nymphalidae
Exons: 3
Source: RefSeq, a predicted model, not a curated record
GUCGCUAGUUACCUGUAGGGCUGUGCAGUGUGCAGAUAUACCAUGGCAUAAUCGGUGUGCGAUAAAAAAAAAAUACACUAAUAAAGGACCCUCGCUUACCACGCUCGUUUUGAACCAAGUGAAAUCCACUUUCUUUGUUAAGAAAACAGAGGUAUAAUAUUGAACAAGGGCGGCUGCAUUUGAAUACUAGAAAUCACAAACUUAUUGUGUACAAUGUACGUAGGUACCUACUUCAUCUAAUCCGGCGUUUACCUUCAUAUCUACUCUUUAUCAGAUUUAUCAGGUAUUUGUUUUACUUUUAUCAUUUAUACGCAGGUUGAUAAGGAAAUAAAGGUUAUUUUUAAGGCAAUUUGAUUUCUAUUUCUUUUCGUGAACGAUUGAUAAAGACCAGUUCGUAUAUCCACUAAUUAAAAGGAUUUUUUUU